UACGUAGGGUGCGAGCGUUAAUCGGAAUUACUGGGCGUAAAGCGUGCGCAGGCGGUUUUGUAAGCCAGAUGUGAAAUCCCCGGGCUUAACCUGGGAAUGGCAUUUGGGACUGCAAGGCUUGAGUGCGGCAGAGGAGACUGGAAUUCCUGGUGUAGCAGUGAAAUGCGUAGAUAUCAGGAGGAACACCGAUGGCGAAGGCAGGUCUCUGGGCAUUAACUGACGCUGAGGAGCGAAAGCAUGGGGAGCGAACAGG
Molecule: ribosomal RNA, 253 nt
Filed under: uncultured bacterium
Lineage: Bacteria
Description: partial 16S ribosomal RNA
Rfam family: Bacterial small subunit ribosomal RNA
Source: RNAcentral